GUCACCUUGUUAGCCAGGAUGGUCUCGAUCUCCUGACCUCGUGAUCUACCUGCCUCGGCCUCCCGAAGUGCUGGGAUUUCAGGCGUGAGCCACUGCGCCCGGCCCUCCAUAAAAAGUCUUAAGCACAAAAUUAUGCUUGAAAAAAAAACCCUGUCUGUAUAAAAAAUACAAAAAUUAACCGUGCGGUAAUGGCACGUGCCUGUAAUCCCAGUUACACAGGAGGCUGAGGCACGGGAAUUGCUUGAACCUGGGAGACGGAAGUUGCGGUGAGCGGAGAUGGCACCACUGUACUCUAGCCUGGCCAACAGAGUGAGACUCUAUCUCAAAAAAAAAAAAAAGAAAAGAAAAGAAAAUCUUAGCAGGCUCUCCUGUGCAGAUGCUGCUGGUGCUGAGCUUUGUGUCUGGGGCAAAAAAGGUGAGGGCGGGCCCCGGUUGGUUUAGGAGAAGUGUUUACGAACAGAAUGGGCCCCAUGCUCCCGGCCUGAGGAAAUUCUUUCAUGAAAAAGAUUCUUCCGCAGCUUGGAGGGGGAUGGUCCAGCCGAUGCUCCUGUCCCUCUCUCAGCCCCAGGGGCAGAAGGGAAACAGUCAGCAGCACGGCCAUUGCAGAUGGUGCCCAAGGCGGGAAGGAUAGCUGCCGUCCUUCCUUGUUUGUCAUCACCUUGGUACUUUUGAAGAGUCCUUGUCAGAGAUGAGGUCUCGCUCUCUCAUCCGGACUGGAGUGCAAUCGUGGGAUCAUAGCUCACUGCGGUCUCCAACUCCUGGGCUCAAGCGACCCUCCCACCGCAGCCUCCUGAGCAGCUGGGACUACAGGUACACGCCACUGUGUCUGGCAAAAUUAGUUUUACUUUACUAAAAGGAAGCACGUAGGCCUGCUCUGGUCUUUGCUACUUGCAGUUUUUGUGUUAUAGAUUGUCGGACACUCGUGGUGAUUUAAUUUUGGAAGGGACCUUCUUUCUCACCCAGUUGGAUCCUUCCAGUUUCUAGAUGAAGACACUUGGUACCUGGAGGCCUUCUGACUUUUGGGUUAGAGCUGGCAUGGAGUCCAGGCACCUGCUCCUCUGACCACUUUCUACAGGCAUGGAUGCUCCUGGGACACUGCAGGGACAGAGCCGUCCCCAGCAAUGCAGAUUGACGGGGCAGGUUUCCAGUUGGGUGGGGCCGCAUCCCUCCCGGAGAUGUGAGGCAGGUUUGAGAUGAGUCUGCUCCCCUUCUGUCUGCUGCCUCUUUCUUUUUUUUUCUUUUCUUUUUGAGACGGAAUCUUGCUCUGUAGCCCAGGCUGAAGUGCAGUGGCACAAUCUCGGCUCACUGCAAGCUCUGCCUCCUGGGU
Piliocolobus tephrosceles (Ugandan red Colobus) is the source of this 1327-nucleotide long non-coding RNA. RefSeq lists it as uncharacterized. The transcript is spliced from 3 exons. Lineage: Eukaryota; Metazoa; Chordata; Mammalia; Primates; Cercopithecidae. The record is from RefSeq and is a predicted model, not a curated record.